CGGACGGGUGAGUAAUGUCUGGGAAACUGCCUGAUGGAGGGGGAUAACUACUGGAAACGGUAGCUAAUACCGCAUAACGUCGCAAGACCAAGAGGGGACCUUCGGGCCUCUUGCCAUCGGAUGUGCCCAGAUGGGAUUAGCUAGUAGGUGGGGUAACGGCUCACCUAGGCGACGAUCCCUAGCUGGUCUGAGAGGAUGACCAGCCACACUGGAACUGAGACACGGUCCAG
Molecule: ribosomal RNA, 230 nt
Filed under: uncultured bacterium
Lineage: Bacteria
Description: partial 16S ribosomal RNA
Rfam family: Bacterial small subunit ribosomal RNA
Source: RNAcentral